CCCGCUGAACUUAAGCAUAUCAGUAAGCGGAGGAAAAGAAACUAACAAGGAUUCCCUCAGUAACGGCGAGUGAACCGGGAAGAGCUCAAAUUUGGAAUCUGGCACCCAUCGCGGGUGUCCGAGUUGUCAUUGAGAGGGUCAUCUUGUGCCGACCGGAAACGUUCAAGUCCCUUGGAAUAGGGCGCCUGAGAGGGUGAUAGCCCCGUUCAGACGUUUCUCAUACACACGGAAGGCGAGUACCAAGGUGGCCCAACGAGUCGGAUAGUUUGGGAAUGCUGUCCUAAAUGGGUGAUACAUGUCAUCUAAAGCUAAAUAUGAGCAAGAGACCGAUAGCAAACAAGUACCGUGAGGGAAAGAUGAAAAGGACUUUGAAAAGAGAGUCAAAAGUACGUGAAAUUGUUAUAAGGGAAACGAUUCAUUCUGCGACAGGACAGAGUACUCCAGGGUGGUAGCAGCCAGUCAAAUGGUUGUGUGCGCCUGUAUGGUAUUCUGACCCAGUUGAUCCGUGUGUGGUGCUCUGCAAAUGCUCCAUGGGAAGGUGGCUCCUCUUUGCGGAGGAAGCUUUAUAGACCAAGGAAGGCUGCAGGUGCGCGUAUUGCUCUGCUGCACAUGUCCACGUUUGUGGAGACAGGCACGUGCGUUGAGUGGAUGCUGUGCGUGUCCUUGAGACAUUCACUUCCCACUUGACCACCUCGACAAUGUGCCGCGUCAUCAACGCUGCGGUGUGAACCGACCCGUCUUGAAACACGG
This 750-nucleotide ribosomal RNA is filed under the name uncultured fungus. RNAcentral's name for it is "eukaryotic LSU rRNA". It matches the Rfam family "Eukaryotic large subunit ribosomal RNA", at positions 24 to 664 of the family's 3401-position model. Lineage: Eukaryota; Fungi. The record is from RNAcentral.